AAUCUACUCCCUCCGUCCGGAAAUACUUGUCAUAAGAAUGAAUGUAUCUAGAUGUAUUUUAGUUCUAGAUACAUCUUUUUUAUUCAUUUGUGCAACAAGUAAUUUCGAACGGAGGGAGUAUGUU
RNAcentral lists this microRNA precursor (124 nucleotides) under Hordeum vulgare. Its description in RNAcentral is "microRNA MIR1122". It matches the Rfam family "MIR1120/MIR1122 microRNA precursor family". Lineage: Eukaryota; Viridiplantae; Streptophyta; Magnoliopsida; Poales; Poaceae. The record is from RNAcentral.